Molecule: non-coding RNA, 244 nt
Organism: Pelobates cultripes (western spadefoot toad)
Lineage: Eukaryota; Metazoa; Chordata; Amphibia; Anura; Pelobatidae
Source: the annotation of a GenBank genome assembly
CAUACCACUUGCAAAAGUAGACAACCCAAGGUAUUGCAAAUGGGGUAUGUCCAGUCUUUUUUAGUAGCCAUUUAGUCACAAACACUGGCCAAAAUUGGCAUUCUUAUUAGUUUAUUGCAUUUUUCACACACAAACAAAUAUUAACGCUAACUUUGGCCAGUGUUUGUGACUAGGUGGCUACUAAAAAAGACUGGACAUACCCAAUUUGCAAUACCUUGGGUUGUUUACUAUUGCAAAUGGUAUG